GACGAUGCAGAGGGCUGUAAGUGUGGUGGCCCAUCUGGGCUCUCGCCUGCAGGCAUUCUCCCCGGCCUUGUGUCGUCCAUUUAGUUGCGCACAGGACACCGCUGUAUGACUUCCACCUGGCCCACGGCGGGAAAAUGGUGGCGUUUGCGGGUUGGAGUCUGCCAGUGCAGUACCGGGACAGUCACACUGACUCGCACCUGCACACACGCCAGCACUGCUCGCUCUUUGACGUGUCUCAUAUGCUGCAGACCAAGAUACUUGGUAGUGACCGGGUGAAGCUGAUGGAGAGUCUAGUGGUUGGAGACAUUGCAGAGCUAAGACCAAACCAGGGGACACUGUCGCUGUUUACCAACGAGGCUGGAGGCAUCUUAGAUGACUUGAUUGUAACCAGUACUUCUGAGGGCCACCUGUAUGUGGUGUCCAACGCUGGCUGCUGGGAGAAAGAUUUGGCCCUCAUGCAGGUAUACCCCCUCUGUGUUCUAGGCACCUUGUCUUCCUUGUUCAUAGAGCAGCAUCCUUGUUAUCCAAGACAGGGUUGGCACAGACAAAGGACCUGGAAAAUGGCUCUUUCAGUGAAUGAACAGCUAUGAGACUCAAGAGCAGGCCCUCUCUGGAGCAUGCCAGGGUUUGGUGGUGGGGGAUUACCAGGCAUGGGGAGGGGGUCUUGGCCCCUCUGGUGUGAGGUGGCAGACCUGGGCUUGGGUCAUCUCUAUCACUUAGUAGCUAUGUGACCUUGUAAGAUGGGAACCAGCCUACUACCUUUUUUUCCUCCCUCCUCCUCCUCCUCUCCACUGUCUUACUACUGUCCAGCUCUGCAGCGUCCAGCCCAUGGUAGCUGCUCAGUAAGUGGCCCCAGAUGCUCUUGUGUUUCUGUCUUUUAGGACAAGGUCAGGGAGCUUCAGAACCAGGGCAGAGAUGUGGGCCUGGAGGUGUUGGAUAAUGCCCUGCUAGCUCUGCAAGGCCCCACUGCAGCCCAGGUACUACAGGCCGGCGUGGCAGAUGACCUGAGGAAACUGCCCUUCAUGACCAGUGCUGUGAUGGAGGUGUUUGGCGUGUCUGGCUGCCGUGUGACCCGCUGUGGCUACACAGGAGAGGAUGGUGUGGAGGUGUGUCAAGAAGUGGUGUAGGGGGCAGUACAGGGCACAAGAUGCAUGUGAGGGGUUGGGGGUAUGUGGUACAGGGAGCUUCCCAUCUGCCCUCUGGUGUUUCAUACAGAUCUCGGUGCCGGUAGCGGGGGCAGUUCACCUGGCAACAGCUCUUCUGAAAAACCCAGAGGUGAAGCUGGCAGGGCUGGCAGCCAGGGACAGCCUGCGCCUGGAGGCAGGCCUCUGCCUGUACGGGAAUGACAUUGAUGAACACACUACACCUGUGGAGGGCAGCCUCAGUUGGACACUGGGGAAGCGCCGCCGAGCUGCUAUGGACUUCCCUGGAGCCAAAGUCAUUGUUCCCCAGCUGAAGGGCAAGGUGCAGCGGAGGCGUGUGGGGUUGAUGUGUGAGGGGGCCCCCAUGCGGGCACACAGUCCCAUCCUGAACAUGGAGGGUACCAAGAUUGGUACUGUGACUAGUGGCUGCCCCUCGCCCUCUCUGAAGAAGAAUGUGGCGAUGGGUUAUGUGCCCUGCGAGUACAGUCGUCCAGGGACAAUGCUGCUGGUAGAGGUGCGGCGGAAGCAGCAGAUGGCUGUAGUCAGCAAGAUGCCCUUUGUGCCCACAAACUACUAUACCCUCAAGUGAAGCUGGCUCAGGGUGGGGCUGUCCCUUCCAGAAGUUUUGCCCCUACAAGGGGUUAGUCAAGAAGCUGAGGCAGAACUCACUGGGGGUGGGCAGUUAAGGUGGAGGCUGAUUCUAAUUGUCUGGCUGAGGGGCCACACCACCUAUUCCCCCCACCUAACUCAUGCCACUCCAGCUUCCUUCAGGACCCUGCUUCUGAGUGACGGACCAGCUCACACAAUGUCUUGUUUCAGUCCAUGAUCCCACUGACCUACUCUUGCCUGCUGGAGGGUAAUGAGAAGCUUUGGUUCUGCCAUCUCUCCCACUCUGCCAGGUGCUGGCUGUGGAGCAAAGGCUCACCUUUGUGGGGAGGAUAAAACCUGCCCAACCUACCUCACCAUGGUUUUUCACAUUGCAAACGGUAAUAACAUGGGCAGUGUGGACUUAGGCUACCCCCUCCAGUUUGCUUUCCGUAAAUGCAAAUUGUCCCUACUGCAAGUCAGGAAUGAUUGCCGACUCACAGUAGGGCUGCUAUGCCUGUGUGUAAACUUGGGGAUGGCUGAGGGAACACAGACUCACUCUUCCGCAUUCCCAAGUUGGUCUAGUGUGCUGCCCAGUAGCAAACCAUGGCAGGCUCACCACCUAUUCUGAGCUCCAGGGCUGUUGUAGGGCAGGGUGGGCUUCCUCCCAGACUUGCCUUACCCUGGGCUGAUCUUUGCCCCUGGUAUGCAUUAAUGGAC
Molecule: small RNA, 2447 nt
Filed under: Pongo abelii (Sumatran orangutan)
Lineage: Eukaryota; Metazoa; Chordata; Mammalia; Primates; Hominidae
Description: retained intron
Source: RNAcentral